UCUAGAAGUGGUCGAGCAUUCAUGUGCUGCUUGCAGUAUGUGAACAGCGAGAUCCAAAUGACUCAUUUUUAAGCGCCCACACUUAUCGGCUGUAAUUCAACAGUAAGAGUGAAUAACGUGAGCCUGCCGAGCUGGCCUUGUCAGUGCGACACGGUGAGCGAAUUGAGCCGGACACGCGAUAAACACGUGGGUCUGUAGCUCAGUUGGUUAGAGCACCGUCUUGAUAAGGCGGGGGUCGCUGGUUCGAAUCCAGCCAGACCCACCACGGAUUUAGAUAAAUCCCGGGGGAUUAGCUCAGCUGGGAGAGCACCUGCUUUGCAAGCAGGGGGUCGUCGGUUCGAUCCCGUCAUCCUCCACCAAAAACCUUCACUCUUAUCCAAUGGUUGACAAACCAAAGUAUCCGCAAGCUAUGAAGCUAGGCGGUUAUUCUGGUUUGUCAGUCAUAAGACUCGAAAGAGUCGGCUGUUGUUCUUUAACAAUUUGUAGAGUCGAAUCAGCGUUGUCGACGGAAAGUUCAGUUUCUUCGUAAAGGGGAUUGAUCACCGUGCCGUCGGCAACAUUUUGAUUGCGUCAAACACAGAACUUCAACUGAGCAAUUUAAUUGUUUAGGUAUGAAGAACGGCGUAACGCGUGAAUACUCAAUAGUCACACAAGCUUAACGAGCUGUGUGGCGCAGUUCUUGACCCGACAGUGCCGUCAGCGCUGUCAAAGUUAUAGGGUCAAGUGACUAAGUGCAUAUGGUGGAUGCCUAGGCAAUGAUAGGCGACGAAGGACGUGAUAGCCUGCGAUAAGCUUCGGGGAGCUGGCAAAUUAGCUUUGAUCCGGAGAUUU
This 831-nucleotide unclassified non-coding RNA is filed under the name uncultured bacterium. RNAcentral describes it as "partial contains 16S ribosomal RNA, 16S-23S ribosomal RNA intergenic spacer, and 23S ribosomal RNA". The stretch from base 718 to 831 matches the Rfam family "Bacterial large subunit ribosomal RNA", at positions 1 to 113 of the family's 2925-position model. The record is from RNAcentral.